UAAAAGCCAAGCUUGUGCGCAUGCGUGCUGAAGUACUUCCUUCCCAGUCCAGCAAGCAAGACUAAGAGCGAAGAUUUGAAUUGGAAUUUAAACUAUUUCACUGCCUGCGAUGAGGUGGCGACUUGUCCAGGGUGUACCCCGCCUUCCGCCCGAUUGUAGCUGAGAUAGGCGCCAGCGACCCCAAAAGGAAAUAAGCGGUAGAAAUGGAUGGAUGGACUAUUUCACUGCAAAGAAAACCAUAAAGAAAUUGGAGACAGUGGAGGAACUACUCGACCUUGACGAGUUGAUUAAAAACUCAACCAAGCAAGAAAGAUUUGCUGACAGCCAGGCUCUCAAAGAUUGGUGGAUAUGACUUAAAGAGCUGUUUAAGCACCAUCAUGGACAGGCUCAUGACAAAUGAGUUAAUGUCCAAUCCGAACAUGAAGGGGAGAGGGGGAAAAAAAAUAGCUUUGCCGAGACGAACCUGCUCGAUUUAGUCACAGCUAGUGUCUUGGAUACCCAGAAGGGGACCGAAACGAUCGUCCAUGAUGCCAUGAAAAAUAAACUGAAAUAUGCCCCUGGACGGAAGGGAGGAAUAGGAUGGGCAUCACAGGCUAAAUAAAUGAUUAUAUUGAU
This is a long non-coding RNA of Nerophis ophidion (straightnose pipefish), 615 nucleotides long. RefSeq lists it as uncharacterized. The transcript has 5 exons. NCBI's taxonomy places the organism in Eukaryota, Metazoa, Chordata, Actinopteri, Syngnathiformes, Syngnathidae. The record is from RefSeq and is a predicted model, not a curated record.